This 3014-nucleotide long non-coding RNA is filed under the name Theobroma cacao (cacao). RNAcentral's name for it is "long non-coding RNA (TCAC_LNC006005)". The record is from RNAcentral. Lineage: Eukaryota; Viridiplantae; Streptophyta; Magnoliopsida; Malvales; Malvaceae.
CCAAAAACAUGAUGUAAAAGAUAAAUAUGUUCAUACAUACUUUAAAUCAAAUAAUUGAAGUAUAAAAUUACUUUUACAGUGACACAUGGGCCCCCAACUGACCAAGAAGGUGUAGGGCUACGAACCUUUACUUUCUAGGAUGCAACUCCGAGAUUAAUUCUCGUCUUAAUCAACUAUCAACAAACUGUCCUGAGCCUGAAAAAUGGAUAGGAAGAGGGGUGAGAUUAUGAUUACAUAAUCCCAGUGAGUAAACAAUUACCAUCAAAAGCAUCUAAAGCCGAGUAGAUGGAGAUAAUAUAAAAACAUUAUAUCUCAAUAAUGUUCAUAAUGCAAAAUUCAUUUCAAUCUACACCAAACAAUUUCUUUUCAUCAAAAUUUCCCUGCUUAUGAAUUUCUUAAACUUGGCCCCUACCAGAAUCAUUCUCACAAGUAUCCUCGUCAAGGUAUCCCAUUCAGACCGCCAAGGCUGUCAAAUGACCUAUACCCAAAAACAUGUUUUCACAUUUGACACAACCGUUCAUUGGUGUUGGCUGAGUCUUACUCUCACGUGGUGGCCCGAACGUGAGGUGCACUCAAAUCUUACCUCAAGAGAUACUUCAUCCAACAUCUCCCCCCGGAGGUAAUUAUAUAAUUGCGUUACCGUACCCCUCUCAUAGGCAGUCCACGGAAACCCCCACCACUGCAGUGACUAUUUAAUAUACCACCAGACCCAUAAAAAUUCCAGUAGCAUAAUAUGGCAAAUAAAAUGUAAUUCAGUCUACCGAGACCAAUCCAAAACUAUUCAUAUAUUUCAUGCCAACCCCAAAAAUUUAGCUAUCAUGCUACCAUAGUGUCAUAAGCCACAAUUUCAAUAACAUAUAAAAUUAUAAAUUCAACAUAGUCUCCAUAUACUCAAUUUUCCCAAAACAAUAUUUGAUUUCAAAACCAGUAUAAAUCUCAUUUUUUUUUAUAAAAAAAAACAUUUUAAUUGAAAAACAUAAUAUUUUAUAAUUCAAACUCACCAUUCAAUAAGAACAUCAAACAAGUAUAAUUCUUUAGAUAUUUAAGACGAUAAAUUGUCCACUCACAGUAUUAGGAGUAGAAAUACUCCUAUUUUUAGUCCGCGGGUACAGUUUUUUACCCGUAUCCAAUGGCUCACCACCUAGCCAUAAUUCAUGACACAUAUUCCAAUUAAAUUGUGUCUAACAGUCUUAAGCUAUUUCAGGCUCGAUAUAUAUGCAUGAUAUGAAAUGAAAUGAAAAAUGCACGGGUAGCCAUCUAGACCCGGUAUUGGCCUAAGUCAAUUUUUCAUUCGAUAAAUUGGCCAAUGCGUCCAAUUUCACUCCAACUUGCUCCAUUUCUUUUCCAAUCCCUCAACUCACCAAACACAACUAAUUAACACACAUCUUCACUUUUCUUCUUGGAACUUUCAGCCAACAAUGGUACACUAACUUCGUGAUUUUUCCUACUUAAUUUUCUCUCCAUAAUUCAUUAAUUCCUACACCAAAAACUAUUAUUUCUUAAUCAAAUCACCUAGAAUAACAUCCCAUUCUUCCUCAUUAUUCACUUAGAGAAUUCGGCUAUUGAUGGGCACCAAACCUUUGGUGGUUUUCUUCACUUGUUUUCAUGCUACAUAUCAUUAAUCACCUAAAAACACUAACAUACCUAAAAAUCAAACCAAUCCAAGAUCAUUCUCUCUCCAUACCCAUUUUGACCAGCCAUGAAUUCAUCAUGAAAACAUGUAAUUUAACCAUGGGAAUUAAGGGAAAAUGGAUGGGUAAGGUAAAUCACUAGCAAAAUCAAAGAAAUUUUACCUUUGCUUGAUCAAAUCCUUGAAUUCCAACACGUUCGCUUUGAUUUUUCUCACCUAGGGUUUGUUCUUCCUUGGUUUCUCUUCUCUUCUGGUUUGGCUGAUCAUUAUGGGAGAAAUGGGCUGAUUUUUUACCUUUUUAUAAAGAAAUAAUAAAAUAAUAAAAACAUGACACAUGGCAUUUCCUUAUUGGUUCAAAUUUUAAAUAUUUGACUUUUAAUUCUUUAAUUCUCUACCACACAUUUCUCAUGUUUAUCCAUUUCCAUGAUGAAUAAAAUCUCUUGGUCUUGACAAGUGUCGGGGGUGAAAAUCUACCGAUUUGCCCCCAAGAUGGCAAAAUUACCAUUUCACCUCUAUACUCUAAAUUAUACCGAAAUUAAAAUUUUUCACUUAUAAACCUCAAAUCAUACUCCAAUAAGUCAAAUGGGGCCAAAAAGUCUUUUCUAAAAAUUCCCAUUUUGUCCCCAAGUGGCAAAUGACCAUUUUACCCCUAGAUAGUGAAAAUUCUGGUUUGACUCCAAAUUGAUCUUUGAAUUCCGAAUUACCAUUUUGAGUCAUCCUUGAACUGUGAAACUCUUAAUUUCACCUUCAAAUUCCUAUUUGAACUAGUUCGAGGCUUAAUCGACUUAAUGGUACCAUUAAGUGCAAUAUCGUCUUUUAACGAUUCCUCGAACUUCCUAAAUAUGCAAACAUUCUAUUGAACAUGUAAAUGACGUCGUAAUUAUUUUAUAGAACAGGGUUUGACAAAAACCCUCCCAUUUCUUCAUGGAAAAAUUCGGCCAUUACAGUGCACUAACACCGUGAUUUUUCCUACUUAAUUUUUCUCACCAUUAUUCAUCAUUUUCUAAGCCAUUUCUCUUGAAAUAAUAACAAUCCAUCACCCACACACAUCAAGGAAGGUUCGGCCAAUGAAGAUUCAUGGGAAAAAUGGAUUCUUUUUUUGUUGUUUUGCUUCUAAAUAUGCUAAACUAACUAAAAACACUAACAUAUCUUAAAAUCAAUUCAAUCCAACAUCUUUCUCUCUCCAUACCCAUUUUGACCAGCCAUGAAUUCAUCAUGAAAACAUGUAAUUUAACUAUGGAAAAUAAGGAGAAAUGCUUAAGGAAAAUAGAUUUUAAGUUUAAAUUGAAUAAUCUUACCUUUUUCACUUAUUUCCUUGAUUUUCCACACUUUUUCUCUUUAAAUUCCCCACCUAGGGUUUGUUCUCUUCCUUUUUCCCUUUGUU